CCUACGGGAGGCAGCAGUGGGGAAUUUUGGACAAUGGGCGCAAGCCUGAUCCAGCAAUGCCGCGUGAGUGAAGAAGGCCUUCGGGUUGUAAAGCUCUUUUGUCAGGGAAGAAACGGUGAGAGCUAAUAUCUCUUGCUAAUGACAGUACCUGAAGAAUAAGCACCGGCUAACUACGUGCCAGCAGCCGCGGUAAUACGUAGGGUGCAAGCGUUAAUCGGAAUUACUGGGCGUAAAGCGUGCGCAGGCGGUUUUGUAGGUCUGUCGUGAAAUCCCCGGGCUCAACCUGGGAAUUGCGAUGGAGACUGCAAGGCUAGAAUCUGGCAGAGGGGGGUAGAAUUCCACGUGUAGCAGUGAAAUGCGUAGAGAUGUGGAGGAACACCGAUGGCGAAGGCAGCCCCCUGGGUCAAGAUUGACGCUCAUGCACGAAAGCGUGGGGAGCAAACAGGAUUAGAUACCCUGGUAGUCCACGCCCUAAACGAUGUCUACUAGUUGUACGGGUUUUAAUUACGUUGGUAACGCAGCUAACGCGUGAAGUAGACCGCCGUGGGGAGUACGGUCGNAAGAUUAAACGNAAAUGAAUUGACCGGNUGAGACGUGCGACGGACGACGACGAGGGGAGGAGG
RNAcentral lists this ribosomal RNA (623 nucleotides) under uncultured bacterium. RNAcentral's name for it is "bacterial SSU rRNA". It matches the Rfam family "Bacterial small subunit ribosomal RNA", at positions 338 to 959 of the family's 1533-position model. The record is from RNAcentral.